This 733-nucleotide ribosomal RNA is filed under the name uncultured soil bacterium. RNAcentral describes it as "bacterial SSU rRNA". It matches the Rfam family "Bacterial small subunit ribosomal RNA", at positions 29 to 759 of the family's 1533-position model. The record is from RNAcentral.
UUGAACGCUGGCGGCAUGCCUUACACAUGCAAGUCGAACGGCAGCGCGGGGCAACCUGGCGGCGAGUGGCGAACGGGUGAGUAAUAUAUCGGAACGUACCCUAGAGUGGGGGAUAACGUAGCGAAAGUUACGCUAAUACCGCAUACGAUCUAAGGAUGAAAGUGGGGGAUCGCAAGACCUCAUGCUCCUGGAGCGGCCGAUAUCUGAUUAGCUAGUUGGUGGGGUAAAGGCCUACCAAGGCAUCGAUCAGUAGCUGGUCUGAGAGGACGACCAGCCACACUGGAACUGAGACACGGUCCAGACUCCUACGGGAGGCAGCAGUGGGGAAUUUUGGACUAUGGGCGAAAGCCUGAUCCAGCAAUGCCGCGUGUGUGAAGAAGGCCUUCGGGUUGUAAAGCACUUUCGGACGGAACGAAAUCGCGCGGGUUAACAGCGCGCGUGGAUGACGGUACCGUAAGAAGAAGCACCGGCUAACUACGUGCCAGCAGCCGCGGUAAUACGUAGGGUGCGAGCGUUAAUCGGAAUUACUGGGCGUAAAGGGUGCGCAGGCGGCCCCGCAAGUCAGACGUGAAAUCCCUGGGCUUAACUUGGGAAUGGCGUUUGAAACUACGGGGCUGGAGUGUGGCAGAGGGAGGUGGAAUUCCACGUGUAGCGGUGAAAUGCGUAGAGAUGUGGAGGAACACCGAUGGCGAAGGCAGCCUCCUGGGCCAACACUGACGCUCAUGCACGAAAG